UCAAUAUGGCGCCUGUCCUGAAUUAUUCGAUGGUCUCUGUGAGGAAAAUCCGUCACGCAUGCGCACUUGAAAUUUAUACACCAAAAAAGGUUUGCCGGCUACAGACCAUCGUCCAACUGAUAAUAGCAAAGUUACAGUCAGUUACCGCCAAAACAAUGAAAAUUUCAAUAAUUUGACCUUCAAUGACAAUGUCAUUAAUGAAUGAAGGUCAAGGUCUUUCGGUAUAUUUUUAACAGUAAUCUUUGAAGAUUAUUAUGUUCAAGUUUCAGGACAAUCCAUUCAAAAAUAACAAACUUACAGCCAAUAAAAGCCAAAAAAAUGAAAAUUUCAAUAAUUUGACCUUCAAAGUCAAGGUCAUUUAUGAGUGAAGGUCAAGGUCUGGCUGGUUAUUUUUAAGGGAUAUCCUUAAAGAUUAUUAUGUUCAUGUUUGAAGACAAUCCAUUCAAAAAUAACAAAGUUAUGCACCUGUCAAUAUUUUGCCCUACCAGGGGGGCGGCGGGCAUACACGGGGCUUUAGACAGAAGACCAUUCCUGACAGGCGGGAAUUUGACAAACUUAUGGAAUCCGGGUCCCGGGUAAUAGACUUUGGCCGGUUUUUAAAUCCCGGGACUCGGGAAUUUCGACGCCACAAAAUGAAAAAGGGGAGUAACUGCGAAAAGGUCAAAAGACGACGGCGAUAUUUUUAUUUGUGUUUUUGAAGUUGCAGACAUGAAACUUUUCGAUUUUUUCUACAGUCCUAGAGAAAAUUGUGGGAUAAGGCGAGAAGGUUGCCCCAGAAUUGGGAUUUAUUUGCAAAGGUGAACAUUUGGUUGGACCAUUUGACGAGUGUUUCUGCCAACAGAAAAAAGGGGCAAGGCAAAGGCGUCCGAGACACAGUCUUUGAAAAAGGUUCAAGCUUCUAUCCAGGCCCAAGCUCCUAUCAAGGUUCAAGCUCCUAUAUAUCCCGACUCAAGCUCCCAUCCAGGCUCCUGCUCCUAUCCAGGUUCUUGAGGAAAGUGCACCAGAUUAAAAACAAUGUGGAAGUUUCCAGGUUUGGCCGCAGGAGGAGGAAGAAUGUCUUUUUAAUGACUUUUUGUGUUAAAUGUUAAAAUAAAAUUAGAAGUUAAAGUGUUGUAAGUUUAUAGCUCAUCUGAGCUGUUAGCACGAAGCUAUUGUAAUCAUGACCGGUGAAUGUCUGUCUUCGCAAAUCUGGUGUCCUCAACUUUUAGUGUUUUAACACUCUAAGAGGCCACAGAUAUGGUUCAAUUAUAAUUAAGCUUGGUCAGCAUGCUAACCAUCCCUACAGAAACUGGGUCAUGUGGAGUCAGAAACUAGGUUAGUAGGUUUAUUUUGUAGCUAAACUAUAAAUGUAAAAUAUUAAAGAGCUUAUAUGAUCGAUUGUGUGUCCGUGUUCGCAUUGGUUUAAGUUUUUUAAGUCAUACAUUCUAUUCUAUGAAAGAUAUUUAAUUGAAACUAGGUACGGUAUUUAGUGGGACUACCACUUCCAUACUAAGAAGGUCUAUAACCUUGAUGCAUUAUUUUCAGAACUAUGCCCCUUUAUUACUUGAAAAUACCCAUUUUUAUAAAAAGAAAAUAUAAGUAUCUUCAAAGUCUAAUUAUUUGAAUACUAUCAAAGUUAUUAAACUACAAUUGAUUGAUACAUAUAUAUUCAUUGGGAGUGACUAUACCUACCUUACUUCUGAGGCCCUUAAUCCGGAUUCAUUAUUUUCCUAAUGAUAAGCCUUUGUACUUAUAUUUUUCAUUGUUUUUCUGAUUACAGUUUUAUUUAUUGAUUGAUCUAUUAGAUAUUUACCCUCUCCCCUACCCCGGGGCAUUUGAUGCACCAAGUAGGCUCAAGGGUGGGGAUUUAGACAAAAUUGGUUAUCUCUAGGGUGGGGAUUUAGACUUCAAACAUUUUAAAAUGUCAAAUUCCCCUGGGUCAGCCCGCCGCCCCCCUGGGCGGGCAUAAUAUUGAUAGGUGCAUUACAGCCAAUAACAGCAUGAACAAGCAAAAAUUGGACUUUUAACCUUGAAGGUCAAGAUCAUUUAUGGAUGAAGGUCAAGGUUAGGGUGGUUUACUGAAAGGUCUUGUCCCAAGGGUUGUUGUGGCCAAGUAUGAAGACAAUACACAAAGAAAUAAAAAAGUUAUGAUCCAGGUACAAGUUUUCGGACGGCAACGGCAACGGCUACGGCAACGGCAACGCCGACCUGACUAUAACAAUAUCUCUAUUUUAAAAAAAAAAAAAAAAGUCGAGCUAAAAAUGACCUCACCUGUCAAUCAGAUAGACAACUUUACAGUCCCUUUUGGCUUUAAUUACCCUUUUUAGAACUUUUCAUCGCUUUGAAUCACUACCAGAGUAUAUCCUUGAUUGAAUUAAAUCACAGUUUCUUUCCACUUUUCGCAUUUUCCUUAACCAAUCUCAAAAUUUCUUUCUCGUAUACGUGACACACCUUUCGUAUUGUCCGCCAUUAAUAUUUAUCAAUCACGUGACUCAGAUCCGAACAUUGGUAGCAAGACAUCUCACCCACCAGACACUUCACUCCUCAAAUUUCGAAGACACUCCACCUCUUAAGACACUUCAUCCCCCAAAAUCAGUAACACACUUCACUCCAAUUUUUUUCUAUAAAGUAAAUAAAACAAGUUGUCAACAACAAAAUGCGUAUAUAUGUUUAUAUUUAUUAUAUUUUUUAGUAUUAUUUGAUUAAAAUUUUUGCUUAUUACCUUUAUUUUUACUAAGUUUAAAGCUGAUAUAGGUUAAUUGGUUGUAUUGCCAUAUGAUAUAUCACAGCACUUUCAUCCAUUAAUUGUUUAUUGCAUGUCAUCUUGUUUAUUCAACAUGUUGAUUAGUUGUUUAUUCAACGGUUAUCUCACAAUUGAUUAGAUAAUUGAAUUAAAAUGGUAUAAUUGUAUGAAAAUUAAAUUUAUUUUCUUAAUAAAUAAAUUAAAUAAAGAAAUACAUAAAAUAAAUAUAAAUGAAUAUGAAUGAAUAAAUUGGUUGCUUUAUAUGCUUUAAUGGUAACAUUCAGUGAUGUAACUCAAGUUCAUUAUAUACUAAGCCAAGCAACAAAACAGAAAUAAAUAAAAAUAAUCUAAAAGUAAUAAGUAAAGAAUACAAACAAAAUAUCAAUAUUGCACACAAAGAACACAAAAAUAAAAGAAUUGAGAAACUUAGAAAUGCCAAAAGUACAAGCCCAAGAGAAUACUGGAAAAUAAUUAACUCUAUUGAUCAAUCUAAAAAUGCAACUAAGGCUACUCUUCAUGACCUAUAUGAUUUUUUCAAAAAGACAAAUGAAGGAGAAAACAUAGAAGAUAAUUCAAUAGAUUCAGAAACUGUUAUAGAAGUAAAUGAAGAAAUAAAUACAGAAAUCACUGAUGAGGAA
Ruditapes philippinarum (Manila clam) is the source of this 3360-nucleotide long non-coding RNA. RefSeq lists it as uncharacterized. The transcript has 4 exons. The record is from RefSeq and is a predicted model, not a curated record. Lineage: Eukaryota; Metazoa; Mollusca; Bivalvia; Venerida; Veneridae.